Molecule: transfer RNA, 74 nt
Filed under: Trichonephila inaurata madagascariensis
Lineage: Eukaryota; Metazoa; Arthropoda; Arachnida; Araneae; Nephilidae
Description: tRNA-Thr
Source: RNAcentral
GCCCCACCCAGUAUGGUGGUUAUGACACUCGACAUGUAAUCGAGUGGACUCGGGUUCGAAUCCCGAAUAAGGCA